RNAcentral lists this unclassified non-coding RNA (1761 nucleotides) under Zea mays. RNAcentral describes it as "misc RNA Zm00001eb293330". Lineage: Eukaryota; Viridiplantae; Streptophyta; Magnoliopsida; Poales; Poaceae. The record is from RNAcentral.
AAGUUCUUGAACAAGGGACAUCGAAAUUGUCUGCCCAAGCAGACUGAGUUGAUCCAGAGUCAUCUCGGCAUCCCUCAGUGACCCGUCUGACCGGGAAGCAAUAAGUUUCAAGGCAUCUCUAUCAACAUCCAGGCCUUCGCUGGUAGAAAUCCACUGCAAAGUGCUGAUAAUGUCGCACUCCUUCAGUUUGGGGAAAAAGAACUUUUGGCACCUCGACACGAUUAUAUGAGGGAGAUCAAGAUUAGGGCUGAUGAGAAUAAAAACCACACGCCUAGGUGCACGUUCGACGACCUUGGAUAUGACACUCCAUGUAUCAGGCGGCAAUGUGUUGCAGUCAUCAAUUAUAAACACCCUGUGCUGGGAUUUCACCGGCGAGAGCAUCACAUUGUCAAGGAUAUCCACAAUGCCAUCCAGAUCUAUAUUACCAACCGGUCCAAUCUCCAGCAAGCUCCUGCUCUUGCCCAGAUUGUGUGCAAUACAAGAGGCACAUGAAUCACAGGGCCUCGGGUGCUCCGGGGAAUGGCAAUUCAAAGCCUUUGCGAACACCCUGGCGCACGAGGUCUUGCCCGUGCCAUGUGGCCCAUAGAAGACAUACACCAGUCCGAUCUUCUUCUUCAGAAUGGCAUUGGACAGCGCCUGCACCACCAAGCUCUGGCCGACGACGUCUUUGAAAGUCCUUGGAGCAUACUUCUGCGUAAAGCUCCGGUGUCGGGCACGGUGCGAGCCCCGCGACUUCUGCCCAGACCGUGCCUCGGACGCGAGGUCGGAGUCCAGCUCGCUGCUCUUGGAGAAAAUCCCGAGCUCCCCGGAGAAGCUGCUGGAAAUGCCACCGACGGCGUUGCGCACGCCGUCGACAAGCAGAGGCAGAGAGUCGGAGUCUGAACUGCUCGAGGACGUCAGCCUCGCGGUGACCGGGAAAUGCGGGUGCGAGCGUGACCCGUUGACGUGGCCGCACGAGGCGGCGGAGGUGGCGGGUUCGGACCUCCGCGCCGCCGACGUCGACUUGGGGUCGGACAGGCCGCACGAGAGGCUCCGGCCGGCCAUGUCGAGGAUGGACUUGCCGCGGUGGUGGAUGCGCGACCAGUUCCACGGGAUGCCGCACACGUUGUGCGACUCGUGCGACACCUGCUGCUGCUGCUGCAUCAGCUCGACACCGCCGUCGGCUCCGCCGGUGCCGCCGAAGAGGUACCUGUUGCCGCAGACGGCCUCCUGGGAGCUGGAGUUGACGGAGACGCGGGGGGCGGCAGCGGGCUGGGCGACGCGACGGGUAGCGCUUCGCCUGAACCGGCGCCGGGGCCGGCGGCCGGGCUUGGGGUGCGGGUUCUCCGUGAGCUGGUCGAGGAGCGUCUUGAUCGCGCCGGCGCGGGAGUGGUCGGCGUCGUCCGGGUCGGCGGCGACCCGGUUGUUGGAAGCGGAGUCGUCGACGGAGCGGCGGGUGGAUGGGUCCCGCAGCGAGCGCGAGCGCUGCAGGGCCAGGAGGUCCCGCAUCAGCGCGGCCGACGCCGACGCCGAGGACCCCGUGGGGCUGCGCCUCCGCCCGGACGCGCCGUGGGCGUGGGCGUGGGCGUGGUGGUGGCGCAGGUGGAUGCAGUUGGUCAGGUGCGCGUGGCCGCGGAGGUGGUCCCCGCCACCGCCGCCGCUCGCUGGCGCCGGCAUUGCGCUGGUUCAACCUCUCCGGCUAGGCCAUCUUGGUUGGGGACCCGUGUCGGGCAAUCGUUUCGCGACAGGCCAAGGGGGGUGGAGAGGAGGCCGAGAUGGGGG